GGGCGCAGCCUGAUGGAGCACACCGCGUGAGUGAAGAAGGGUUUCGGCUCGUAAAGCUCUGUUGUUGGAGAAGAACGUGCGUGAGAGUAACUGUUCACGCAGUGACGGUAUCCAACCAGAAAGUCACGGCUAACUACGUGCCAGCAGCCGCGGUAAUACGUAGGUGGCAAGCGUUAUCCGGAUUUAUUGGGCGUAAAGCGAGCGCAGGCGGUUGCUUAGGUCUGAUGUGAAAGCCUUCGGCUUAACCGAAGAAAGGGCAUCGGAAACCGGGCGGACUUUGAGGUGCAGAAGAGGGACAGGUGGGAACCUCCAUGUGGUAGCGGGUGGGAAUGCGUAGAAUAUAUGGGAAGAACACCCAGGUGGGCGAAAGGCGGGCUGGUCUGGGUCUGCAAACUGAACGCCUGAAGGCCUCGAAAAGCCAUGGGGUAGCGAAACAGGGAUUAAGAUACCCCUGGGUAGUCCCAUGGCCGUAAAACGAAUGAGUUGCUAGGGUGGUUGGAAGGGGUUUCCGCCCCUUUCAAUGGCCUGAACAUAACGCUUUUAAGCCCACUCCGUCCCGGGGAAAUUACGACCCCCCAAGGGUUUAAACCUCCAAA
RNAcentral lists this ribosomal RNA (596 nucleotides) under Limosilactobacillus reuteri. Its description in RNAcentral is "bacterial SSU rRNA". It matches the Rfam family "Bacterial small subunit ribosomal RNA", at positions 373 to 906 of the family's 1533-position model. The record is from RNAcentral. Lineage: Bacteria; Bacillati; Bacillota; Bacilli; Lactobacillales; Lactobacillaceae.